RNAcentral lists this long non-coding RNA (250 nucleotides) under Anser brachyrhynchus (Pink-footed goose). RNAcentral describes it as "lncRNA (ENSABRG00000010105.1)". Lineage: Eukaryota; Metazoa; Chordata; Aves; Anseriformes; Anatidae. The record is from RNAcentral.
UUCUAUGUUAGUGAGUUGUUACAGCUUUUAUUUUUUUAUUUAUUUUUUUUUUUUUGGUGCAGGGGGGAGGCAUGAAACAAAGCCAAGAAACACAUUAUCGUACCCUCUAGUGAAUGAAGACACUUGGUUCAGGUGCCUGUUUGAUCUACUGCAUGCCUUUGCAAGGGACAGCAAAGCGAAACAAAUCUAUGAAAUGGUGGUUGAGAAGAAAAGAUCCAAUUCUACAGAAGGAAUAAGACAUUUUCUCUAA